UAAUACGUAGGGUGCAAGCGUUAUCCGGAUUUAUUGGGCGUAAAGGGCGCGCAGGCGGCCACCAGCAGUGGCCCGUGGAAUCUCUCCGCUUAACGGGGAGAGGCCGGGCCAAACGGGGUGGCUUGGGGCAGGCAGAGGCAUGCGGAACGGGCGGAGUAGGGGUGAAAUCCGUAGAGACCGUCCGGAACACCAGUGGCGAAGGCGGCAUGCUGGGCCUGAAGCCGUAAGGCUGAACCCGACGCUCAGGCGCGAAAGCGUGGGGAGCGAACGGAAUUAGAUACUCCGGUAGUCCACGCCCUAAACGAUGGCAACUCGGUGUCGGGGGUAUCGACCCCUCCGGCGCCUAAGUCAACACGGUAAGUUGCCCGCCUGGGGACUACGGCCGCAAGGCUA
RNAcentral lists this ribosomal RNA (393 nucleotides) under uncultured bacterium. Its description in RNAcentral is "bacterial SSU rRNA". It matches the Rfam family "Bacterial small subunit ribosomal RNA", at positions 521 to 896 of the family's 1533-position model. The record is from RNAcentral.